Molecule: long non-coding RNA, 316 nt
Organism: Stomoxys calcitrans (stable fly)
Lineage: Eukaryota; Metazoa; Arthropoda; Insecta; Diptera; Muscidae
Exons: 2
Source: RefSeq, a predicted model, not a curated record
GCUGAGUAGUGAAAUGACAGUUUGGUUUGUAGUUCUGCGAGCUCAUACGGUAAAUAAGUGUUGAAGGGUUAGGUGAGAUAUCCGGUCACAAUGAUCUGAGAGCUCAUACGCUGAUAGCGGAUUAAAUAACAAAAUAAGCUUAAAAGUCGAUGGAAGCCAAAAAAAAUUGCAUAAUCAAUGUUCAGCUUAUAACUCUUCAUCUGCUAAUUUGCAUUUUAAAGCCAUAUUGAUGUUUUGCAAUUACUAAUUAUCGAAGUAUGCAAAUGCAAUAAAACAUACAAAUCCAAAUAAAUGUUCAAAAAUUCUUACUAUCAAA